Molecule: non-coding RNA, 1665 nt
Organism: Struthio camelus australis
Lineage: Eukaryota; Metazoa; Chordata; Aves; Struthioniformes; Struthionidae
Source: RefSeq, a predicted model, not a curated record
AUUGGAAUGUCUGGAGGCAGGUUUGGAAGGCGUUUUGAAUCCCCUCUUUUGUGGCAAAGCAUUAUCAUGAUUAUUACUAUGUUACUGAUGCUGAAACUGUGCACUGAAGUACGUGUGUCCAACGAGCUAAACAUAAAACGCCGCUCUUUCGCAGCUGCAGAUAGUAAGGAUGAAGAAAUCAAAGCACCUCCCAAGAGAUCUUAUCUGGAUUUUGACUUGAACUACUUUUGGCAUUGGAGCAAGUUUACAGACUACGUGCAGUGUGUCCUGACCUUCACUGGUGUGACCGGUUACAUCACUUACCUCUGGCUUGACUCAUCUCUCUUUGUUGAAACGCUGGGCUUCCUUGCGGUGUUCACCGAGGCCAUGUUAGGUGUUCCUCAGCUCUACCGCAACUACCAGAAUAGGUCUACAGAAGGAAUGAGCGUCAAGAUGGUGCUGAUGUGGACAAGUGGGGACACCUUCAAGACUGUUUACUUUAUCUUGAAUCAGGCCCCUUUCCAGUUCUCCAUCUGCGGGCUCCUCCAGGUUUUUGUGGACAUCGCUAUUCUGCUGCAGGUUUACUUGUACAGCUCGUACCCUCAGAAGCCCGCGUCCCACCCUGCGCACCCUGCCAGCACCAAGGCCCUGUGAGGUGCUCAGCUGGACGGGCUGCAGGUCAGCGGUGCUGCAGUGUCACCUGGGGCGGCUCCUCUUCCAUUUGUAAAUACUCCUACGUUGCCGAGUUGAAAGCAGAAAUGAGAACAAGGAUUGGAAAUCCGACUGCAGUUCCAGCUCUGGAGGUUUUGGUUUAAAUAACUUUCUCUCUCUCUUUUCUGACUUGCUGUACAGACCUGGUUCCUGGUGGGGGGAGGGGCACUUUAUUUUUGCAUAUGUACCCAUGAGCCUUAUCAAUUCACAUACGUUUGUAUAUUUAAUCACAAGGGCUGGAUGUUUUGUGUUUUUAAUGCUAUUUAAAAAUGUUACACCACAGAAAUUAUAGGAUAUUUUGUCUGAAACUUUUACCUAUUUAUAUAAUAUAAAGUCUGUACGUUGGCAGGAAGCGUGUGGCAUAUGUUAGCAUUCAGUAUCACCACGAUGUAGGAAGAAGAGCGAAUGCAGUUCUCUCUCUCUCUUUUUUUUUUUUUUUUCCUUUAAGAAGGAUGUCCGAUGAGCAGAGAAGGUGAGGGAGGAGGGAGGCCCUGCGAAGAGGGGAACGAAGGAAAUGAAUCAGUCCCAGGCAGUAUAAAGCAUCAGUGUGCUAACAAGUGGAAGGUAUUACUGAGGAGAAAACAGCUGCUGUUUUUUCUACUUGGGACUCUUUCACUGUGCAGAUUCUUAAGUCUGUUAUCAGUACCAAAACCAGUGAGCUCUGCAGAUGAGCCUCAUUCAUACCAGAACUGCAAAUGCUGGAAGAGAAGCCAGUGAACUAAUGUCUAAAAUCAUUUUCUAUAUAUGGCAUUCAACAAGGUUGGACACUUAGCCAGGAACUCUUGAACUUCAGCUGAUAAGAUACUUUAGAGACAAAAUGUUACAGAACUUCAUUUUUGUUCUUUGUCAGGAAAUAUUUGUAUCAAUGAUCACCUCAGAGAAUUAAGAAAUCAAUUACUUAAAUACAUCUCUUUGAAUGUAUGGCACAUUUCAUGGAGUUUAUUUUCUGUCAGUUGCAGUGAUUUAAAAAAAAUA